UGAAGAAGACGACGACGAGGAGCAU
RNAcentral lists this microRNA (25 nucleotides) under Gallid alphaherpesvirus 1. Its description in RNAcentral is "iltv-miR-I5-3p". Its record names the gene iltv-miR-I5-3p. The record is from miRBase by way of RNAcentral. Lineage: Duplodnaviria; Heunggongvirae; Peploviricota; Herviviricetes; Herpesvirales; Orthoherpesviridae.